RNAcentral lists this ribosomal RNA (250 nucleotides) under uncultured archaeon. RNAcentral describes it as "partial 16S ribosomal RNA". It matches the Rfam family "Bacterial small subunit ribosomal RNA", at positions 524 to 773 of the family's 1533-position model. The record is from RNAcentral.
UACGUAUGGUGCAAGCGUUAUCCGGAUUUACUGGGUGUAAAGGGAGCGCAGGCGGUGCGGCAAGUCUGAUGUGAAAGCCCGGGGCUCAACCCCGGUACUGCAUUGGAAACUGUCGUACUAGAGUGUCGGAGGGGUAAGUGGAAUUCCUAGUGUAGCGGUGAAAUGCGUAGAUAUUAGGAGGAACACCAGUGGCGAAGGCGGCUUACUGGACGAUAACUGACGCUGAGGCUCGAAAGCGUGGGGAGCAAAC